RNAcentral lists this transfer RNA (72 nucleotides) under Marmota monax (woodchuck). RNAcentral describes it as "tRNA.Lys". Lineage: Eukaryota; Metazoa; Chordata; Mammalia; Rodentia; Sciuridae. The record is from RNAcentral.
GGGGUUGUGGCUCAGUGGUAGAGCCUCACACACUUCAUGUGUGAGGCCCUGGGUUUGAUCCUCAGCGCCACA